UUGGAAGAUUGUAUAACGAAUAAGUCGUAUAAAAUUCUAGAUAGAAAAUUGAUAAUGACUACUAUCUAUCUAUUAGUCUUGACCAAAUUACGUGCCAGCAGUCGCGGCAACACGCAGAAGACAAGUGUUAUUCAUCUUUAAUCGGUAUAAAGGGUACCUAGACAGGAAAUAAAGCCAUAGUAGGGACUAAUUUUCUAGAGUUUUAUGGGAGAAAGUCGAAUAUCUGGAGGAGAGAUAAAAUAUUGUGAUACCAGAGAGACGGGUAACGGCGUAGGCAACUUUCUAUGUAAAAACUGACGUUGAGGGACGAAGCCCUGGGUAACGAGAAGGAUUAGAUACCCCAGUAGUCCAGGGAGACAAUGAUGAGUGCCAUAGGCUAGAUAGAUUAGUUUAUAAAUGAAAGUGCAAGCAUUCCACCUCAAGACUAAAGCGGCAACGCCCAAAUUGAAACCAUUAGACCGUUUCUGAAACCAGUAGUGAAGUAUGUUAUUUAAUUCGAUGAUCCACGAAUAACCUUACCACGUUUUGAAUACAUAGGGGAAAAAAGUAUUGCAGGUGCUUUUAUCGGCGAAUACGCAAUAGUGUUCGUCCUUCCCUUUGCCUGCUUAACUGAUACAAGCGCUGCACGGCUGUCUUUAGUUAAUGUCGUGAGACUUUGGUUAACUCCUUUAAUUAACGAAAACCCUUGUUUUAUUUGUUUAUAUAAACAGUUCUCCGCUAUAUUGGAUAAGAUAAUAGGGAUUAAGGCAAGUCAUCAUGGCCUUAAUAACGUGGGCUAUAGACGUGCCACAUAUGCCUUUACAAAAGGAUGCGAUAUUGUGAAAUGGAGCUAAUCCCCAAAAAAGGA
This 847-nucleotide ribosomal RNA is filed under the name Verrucaria pachyderma. RNAcentral describes it as "SSU rRNA". It matches the Rfam family "Bacterial small subunit ribosomal RNA", at positions 404 to 1285 of the family's 1533-position model. The record is from RNAcentral. Lineage: Eukaryota; Fungi; Ascomycota; Eurotiomycetes; Verrucariales; Verrucariaceae.